GCCGGGGAGGCCGGGCCAGCGCGUCCCGCGGUCCGUGUGCCCCCCGGGCCCGCUCGCUGGAGGCUCCGCCGGGUCUUGGCCGCUCCAACGCCGCCGCCGCCUCCCGACCCCUCGAAGACGCGUCAGCGCUCCCCCGCGUGCGGCCGGGAAGCUUCCUGAGCCCUCGGGUGUCCUCCCCGCGCUCCGCGGGAGCUGCGCCACGCAGGUGCUGGGCGGCCGCGCUGGUGCUGCUGGCGCUCCGCCGGCGGCCUGCUGCCUUCAGAGAAAAAGAAUGUCACGCCUCAGACCCAUCGAGGUGCUUUUGUCCCUGCGUGGUUAUUUCCUCACCUGUUGCACCUGGUCCUACGUUGAAUCCCGUCCCGUUGAUCAUCUUUGAGCUCUCUUUGGAUUCCUAGCUUCUGUGUUUUGCUGGUCAAUUGGAGAGCAAAGAGGCCUGCAAAGACUGAGGUGUGAAGAAGAUUCUUGCUGUGCUUGCUUUGGGCCACGUAUUUGUGAGAAGCUUGAAUCUAUGAUCUCAUCUACUGCAUGUGUCUGCAAAGCAGGACUGAUGACCUCUAAGGCUCUCUGAGGCAUAAUUAUGGAAUCACAAAAUGUUUGGGAAUGGAAGUGACCUCUGGAGAUCAUCUAGACCAACCUCCCUGCUAAAUCAGAUUCACCUUAAACAGGUUUCACAGGAUCACAUCCAGAGCUGAUCCGACGGGAACAGGAUCGAUGUCCUAAAUCACCAGGUGCCUCAGGUUUUGUUUCCCGGUUUUGCCGUCCAUGUGAAGGCCUCUCUCCAUGCUGGCCAGCGGGCAGGAGCCCUCCAGCUGCCCUGGGAAAGCACUGCAGAGCUGUUCUUCCGAAGCAGCAGCCGGGCAACUCAGCAGCCGACGCCGUCCCUCGCUGCCUGCCGGUGUUCCUCGUCUUCCCAUCUCCCGCGGGUUUUCCAGGACAGCGCCGGGAUGCGCCGGCAGCGCCGGCCGGGAGCGCGGCGCCGGCUCCGCGGGGCACAGCGACAUCUCCUGGCCAGCCUGGGCAGCACCGGCGCGGGCACCGCCACCGCCUGCCCGCCCCGCCCGGCCGCGCACCUCUGCGGCUGGAAACGCGAGAUCCAGCUCACAGCGGGCUACUUCCACGCUGAUUUAAGGGUUUUUUCCCUGUAUUUUGGAAGGGGGUGUCUGAAAAAAGAUUUGAUUCAUCUCCUGGGCAGCAUCCAAAGCAGUGUGGCCAGCAGGUCGAGGGAGGGGAUUCUGCCCCUCUGCUCUGGUGAGAUCCCACCUGCAGUGCUGCAUCCGGCUCUGGGGUCCUCAGCAUGAAAAGAGCAUAGACCUGCUGGAGUGGGUCCAGAGGAGGGACACCAAGAUGAUCACAGGGCAGGAGAACCUCUCCUGUAGAAACAAGCUGAGAGAGUUGGGGAGUUGGGAUUUUUCAUCCCAGAGAAGAGAAGGCUCCAGGGACACCUUAUGUGGCCUUCCAGUAUGUAAAGGGGGCUUACAGGAGAGCUGAUGAGCGAUUUUUGACAAGGGCAUGUAGUGACAGGACAAGAGAAAAUGGCUUUAAACAGAAAGAGAGUAGGUUUAGAUUAGAUUUUAGAAAGAAAUUCAUUACUAUGCGGAUUGUGAAACACUGCACAAGGUUGUCUGGAGAAAUUGUGGAUGCCUCAUCCCUGGAGGUGUUCAAGGCAGAUUGGAUGGGGCUUUGAGCAAUCUGAUAUAGUGGGUGGCAUCGCUGCCCAUGGCAGGGAGCUUAGAACUAGAUGAUUUCUAAUGUCUCUUUCAACCCAAACCAUUCUGUGAUGCUAUUAAAUAUAUAAAGUAGACAUCCUGGUAAAGCUGUAUUUUAAACUGAAAAAAUGUAAGGUGCACAAAAUCAUGAGAGUAACCCAUUUUUAUGCAUUUCUUAAAUACAGGUUCAUCCUGCUUGACACAACUUUAAAAUAGUAGAUUGCCCUGUCACAAUCUUCUGUGUGCUUGAUUCCCCAAAGAGAAAUUUGUAUUUCAACUACCACUGAAAUUCAGUAACUGCUGAAAGGCGAAAAAUGUGAAAAGGCUGGCAGGCUGAAUUGAACAAGAACUCUUAUAGAAGAAGCUAACAGGCUAAAUUCACAUCAGGGCCGUGUAAUUAUCCAAAUGAAUUUAGAUGAAGCAUUGCAGUUACUUUUACCAAAGCACCCAAUGAUGCCACUCAUAGUCUACUUCACAUGUCAUUCAAAAGAGAUAUUGUCACUUCAGACUUUGCAAUACAUAUGAAAUGAAAGGAAAAGUUGGACUCCCUGGGUUUUACCAGUGUUGUUACACCCAAUAGGGAAAUAUAAGCUUUGUGGUGGUACUAAAGAGCUAGAUAGUAAAGUAAAAUGUAUGUGAGAAUGGAACAUGGUGUGAUACAUAUGAAAACUCCAUGGUAAAGAGCUAUUUUCCACAUGGCAUCUAAUGUAUCCUUUUAGAGUGAGAAAAUGACUGUCUCUUACUUCUGUCGCUUUGAGUCCAUUGCUCCUUAAAGCUAUGUGCUGUCUUUUUAGCUGGAUUGCUAGAUCUGGAUCUGUGUAAGCUCUGAAGAAAUCAGCAAUGUAACCACAAGUCCUGCAAGUGCCUAAUCAGCAGAUACAAAGUGUUCUGUUUUCAAUAAAUAUUGAGGGACUUUGUUUUUUUUAAAGUAAUGUCUCAUUCCAGUCACAUGGUGUUUAUAUUGGUCAGUGAAUCACAACAUAACUCUUUCUGCAGCAAGACUUCACGCUGUGUUAUAAAAAUUCUUGCAAGUAGUAAAGGUUGUGCUGUUACAUAGCCAGCUUUACUGAAGGGAGACUUCAGUUUGUGGGUCAUGUCCUUCAAAACCUGGAAAAGGCUGGAUCUGCUCAACCUCUUGGAAAAUCUCUCCAGGGCACUGAUGCUCUCUUGUAGCUUAGGUGCCUCUUAAGAAGUGGAAAACUAAUCCCAGCUUUUGUGCUAAGAAUCAAGUGUUUGCUCAUUUGUUAGGACGCUAUAUAAGAAAUAUAAGUAAUCAUGGAAUGAACUAUCAUUUUGACACAUUGCAACCAUUAUUACAAGAUUUUUCUUUUGACAUGUUGAGGUGAUAGAAGAGCAGAUGAAGGAUGAGGAUAAAGGUUGAGAGGACCACAGCAGCUGCUGUUGGAGCAACAUCUUUACAGAACAGUGAAGGAAUGAAAUACAACAUGUAUAACAAUGAUUUUAAAAUUUCACAUUACUAUAAAUGUUAAAGUGAUGUCAUGCAACUCUUUACCCAAAUUUGGUUUGUUAUUCACAUGGCUUGUUUUCAAAUGUUUCUAUGUAUGCUAGAGGCAAAUGCACCUGUGCCUCACAAAUUCUUGAGGAGUUCCUAUAGAAAACAAACUCUUUAGAGUGAUAAUAAUCUGUUCAAUUCUUGCAGACAGAAUGGUAGAGAGGAAAUGAGCAAUUAAAAAAGAAUAAUGUGCCUAAGGGUUUGAAAGCUCUGUUUUGCUGUUGAAAGUCAGGAUCCAAAGCACUCUUGCUGUAGAAACAGUCUUACUUUUCACCAGUUAAAAAUCAACUAGUGUUCCAAGAAGAAUGCCAAUUUUCAGGUUUCCUCCUCUUCUGCCUCACUGAAGGUUUUACUUGAGACUUGAUAGAAAUAUCUCAAGGCAAUGAAGUACAGUAAGACUGGUGUAUUUAUUUUGGAUCUGUUAAAAUUUCAUAGCUUGUGCUCACAUGCACAUUUAGGAUGUGAAACCCCUAUUCAUGGGGACAUCUUCAUCUGUGCAUGUUUUCAUGUGGACCGCUUUAGUAAAAAUAAUACAAGUACUGAAAAUCUCACCUAUGAAGACCUGGAAGUAGAAAAUUUUCUGCUCUUUAAAAUUAUGUACUGUCUAGGUCCUACAGUACACAUAAAAUAUGCUAACUUGUAAUUAGCACAAACCACUCAUUAUCUCCUUUUGGGUUUGUUUGUUUGCUUGUUUGUUUGUUUGUUUUUCCUAAGAACAGAGUGAAAAUUGAAGUUAAAUAGCUAGAAUGAGCAUAUGUGGUGUACUGAUCCUCUGGAUAUAUUUGUCAAAGUAAUUGCUUGCCAGAAAAUAAUUGAACUUACUAAAUGAAUUUUGAGAUUUAGGAAGUUCUGUGUUCAAAGAAUCCCUGAAAACUCAGCCCAGAACUCAUUGAGGCUAUGUCAGCCUGUUGGUCUGGAAGGUGGCCGGCUGCUGAUCCUAGGGUAGAAGUAUUUCAUCCAGAAAGUCUUUAAAGAGAAAUUGCUGGGGGAUUUACAGGAAGAGUUUGCUGUGGUUAGUGAACAAUUGCUUUCUGGAAUGACAUAAAUAAUGCUGUUUGAUAGCGAUGUACGCUGGGAAUUAACUACUGUGUCAAGCAUCUUUAGCUGACAAGGAGCAGCUGGAGACUGACUGGGUAAGUAACGAGAGUGGAAGGCUUGCUCUGAAAUCUCAAGUUUAGAGCGACUGAUAGGGAAUUAAUGAUAUCUCAAUGCUAUUCUCUUCACACGAUGAUUUAGUGGAUAAUAUGAAAUUCCAGUCUUAAAAGGAAAGUGAAAAAUUCAUUGGCAAAAAUACUGUCUCACCUUGACUCUCCAUAUGGUGAAAGCCAACCAAAAUCUGGGUCCUAUGUCAGAACUGUUAUUUCCUUUAGUGUUGGAAUUAUAACAAUAGUCUCAUGUUGUCCUAAUUUCCUGACUUUGGCAAUGCCAGGAAGGCUGCAGAGGUGGUAAAAUCUGCUGCUAGAAAUCCUUUUCUGUAGAUAGUUUUCAGUUAAGUAUGAGGAACAAAUUCUGGUAUCUAAACUACAUAAUCCUUUGUCUUUACUGGACUUGCACUUAAGUGUUUAUCAGUGCAGAAUUUACAUCCUUAAUCUUAACACUAUCAUCCAUACUAGUUCUGAAAUUACAUUUUCUUUCCUGGUAUGUGUUCAUCUCAGAAGACAGAACUUGGCCAGACUUUUUUUUAAGAUCACUAAUUAAUUUACUGUGAACCUUGAUUUACAGGACAAGGAUAUGUAGGUUAUUCCACAUAUGUGAGUCAUGAAUGCUUUAAAGAAGUGCUGGUCUGAAAUUUAAAACUUUUUGUCCUCUCUCUUAUUUGCGCUUCUGCUUAUACAUGUUAUAAUUUGAAAAAUCUAAAAAUGUUUUCUGGCCUGGUUUGCACACUUGCGUAUUUGCAAAGACCCCAUGCCACACAUAUUGAAAAAAAAAUUGGAGACUUGUUUUUCUUCUUAGAAAAGCCUUCGUAUCAUAUAAAAUACUGGCAGAAUCUCACUCAGUCUUUGCCAUACCCUCUAAGCAAAGAUUUCUGUAAACAGGUAAACAUUUAUUUAACAUGACCAGAAACCUGGUUAGUAGGUAAGGUAGCAUUUUCUUUCCAUUACUACAAUGCUUUCCUCCCAACAUGUAUUUGUCAAUGCAGCUAUUUUUAUAACACAGAUCAGAAGUGCUGUGAAAAUCUGGUGCUUGUAUGUUGUUCUACUGAAGGUCAGAAGAUCCUUAAUUAAACUUUAUUUUGCUAAGGUUUAUGUUUACAUACCAUGCUCUGCAAGAAAUAAAAUGUUUGUAGUGAGAUCAUGAGAGAACAAUAAUAUUUAUAAAGGCAGAUUUAACUCA
This is an RNA transcript of Corvus hawaiiensis (hawaiian crow), 5553 nucleotides long. It is a transcript of the gene named translation initiation factor IF-2-like, with no coding region annotated. NCBI's taxonomy places the organism in Eukaryota, Metazoa, Chordata, Aves, Passeriformes, Corvidae. The transcript has 5 exons. The record is from RefSeq and is a predicted model, not a curated record.